Molecule: ribosomal RNA, 332 nt
Filed under: uncultured bacterium
Lineage: Bacteria
Description: bacterial SSU rRNA
Rfam family: Bacterial small subunit ribosomal RNA
Source: RNAcentral
GACGAACGCUGGCGGCGUGCCUAAUACAUGCAAGUCGAGCGAGCGGAACCAACAGAUUUACUUCGGUAAUGACGUUGGGAAAGCGAGCGGCGGAUGGGUGAGUAACACGUAGGUAACCUGCCCCGGAGCGGGGGAUAACAUUUGGAAACAGAUGCUAAUACCGCAUAACAACAAAAGCCGCAUGGCUUUUGUUUGAAAGAUGGCUUUGGCUAUCACUCUGGGAUGGACCUGCGGUGCAUUAGCUAGUUGGUAAGGUAACGGCUUACCAAGGCGAUGAUGCAUAGCCGAGUUGAGAGACUGAUCGGCCACAAUGGAACUGAGACACGGUCCAU